Molecule: non-coding RNA, 783 nt
Organism: Danio rerio (zebrafish)
Lineage: Eukaryota; Metazoa; Chordata; Actinopteri; Cypriniformes; Danionidae
Source: Ensembl
CACAUUUGGUCCACAGUGGUUUUGGUGGCCCGAACAUCAGCACUUCAAAAGUCACGCGUAGACAUUUGUUAUCCUCAACGGUAUUCAUAGCUGCAUGUGAGAGAAGAGAAGAAGCACAGAUAAACACAGGAGAGACAGAGAGUCACUUUGACAGAAAAUCACAUAAAAAUUCAUUUAAAAAAUCAGACCCCUUUGGCAGUUCGAUUUGAAGAAUCAUGUCACCUGUUGUUCAUUUUGGAUUGCUUAUGGCAUGCUCAGUUCUUGUUGGGUGUAGCAGUGUUGCUAACAAGGAAAAAUGGAUGAAUCUUCUUGAGAGAAAUGAGAUGAAGUUUCCUGAAGAAGUCAAAAAGAGUGAUGGAGUACAAAUAGAGUCUGAGAAUGUCAUUGCCUGCUGGGUUUGCAAGAAGUCCGUUCAUCAGCUCAAGGGUUUGGUUCUUCAUGAGAUUAAUAAGGAAAUAAAGGCUGUGUGUAAAGCAAUGAAAGUCUUCAACCAUAUCUGCAAGCAACAGGCAUAUAAAUACCAGCUCUUUGUACUUCAUCUGCUGUUUCCUCAUAAUAGCAGUCAAACCUGUCAGCAUUUGAAGAUGUGUAAAUAAAUGUGUUUGAUCUGCUGUGAAUAAACAUGGUAAAUCUUUGAUAAUGUUUUGAAUAAAUUAAAAUUAUUAAUUAAAAUAUGUGUGUGCUUAAUGCCUUGACAAUUUUGUUUUUAAUAUAAAGUGUGCAUUGUUACUUCUGUAGUGUAACUUUUGUGAAAUCUUAAGUCAAAGAUUCAAUAAAUUGUUG